This 30-nucleotide non-coding RNA is filed under the name Actinoplanes sp. SE50/110. Lineage: Bacteria; Bacillati; Actinomycetota; Actinomycetes; Micromonosporales; Micromonosporaceae. The record is from RNAcentral.
UGCAUCCAGAUGCGAGACGCGAUAGUCCUU